CCAUUGGGCGGCAGCUACACAUGCAAGUCGAGCGGUAACAGAUCCAGCUUGCUGGAUGCUGACGAGCGGCGGACGGGUGAGUAAUGCAUAGGAAUCUGCCCGGUAGUGGGGGAUAACCUGGGGAAACCCAGGCUAAUACCGCAUACGUCCUACGGGAGAAAGGGGGCUUCGGCUCCCGCUAUCGGAUGAGCCUAUGUCGGAUUAGCUAGUUGGUGAGGUAACGGCUCACCAAGGCCACGAUCCGUAGCUGGUCUGAGAGGAUGAUCAGCCACAUCGGGACUGAGACACGGCCCGAACUCCUACGGGAGGCAGCAGUGGGGAAUAUUGGACAAUGGGGGGAACCCUGAUCCAGCCAUGCCGCGUGUGUGAAGAAGGCCCUCGGGUUGUAAAGCACUUUCAGCGAGGAAGAACGCCUAGCGGUUAAUACCCGCUAGGAAAGACAUCACUCGCAGAAGAAGCACCGGCUAACUCCGUGCCAGCAGCCGCGGUAAUACGGAGGGUGCAAGCGUUAAUCGGAAUUACUGGGCGUAAAGCGCGCGUAGGUGGCUUGAUAAGCCGGUUGUGAAAGCCCCGGGCUCAACCUGGGAACGGCAUCCGGAACUGUCAAGCUAGAGUGCAGGAGAGGAAGGUAGAAUUCCCGGUGUAGCGGUGAAAUGCGUAGAGAUCGGGAGGAAUACCAGUGGCGAAGGCGGCCUUCUGGACUGACACUGACACUGAGGUGCGAAAGCGUGGGUAGCAAACAGGAUUAGAUACCCUGGUAGUCCACGCCGUAAACGAUGUCGACCAGCCGUUGGGUGCCUAGCGCACUUUGUGGCGAAGUUAACGCGAUAAGUCGACCGCCUGGGGAGUACGGCCGCAAGGUUAAAACUCAAAUGAAUUGACGGGGGCCCGCACAAGCGGUGGAGCAUGUGGUUUAAUUCGAUGCAACGCGAAGAACCUUACCUACUCUUGACAUCCUGCGAAUUCGGUAGAGAUACCUUAGUGCCUUCGGGAACGCAGAGACAGGUGCUGCAUGGCUGUCGUCAGCUCGUGUUGUGAAAUGUUGGGUUAAGUCCCGUAACGAAGCGCAACCCUUGUCCUUAUUUGCCAAGCGCCGUAAUGGCGGGAACUUCUA
This 1114-nucleotide ribosomal RNA is filed under the name Vreelandella aquamarina. Its description in RNAcentral is "bacterial SSU rRNA". It matches the Rfam family "Bacterial small subunit ribosomal RNA", at positions 33 to 1143 of the family's 1533-position model. Lineage: Bacteria; Pseudomonadati; Pseudomonadota; Gammaproteobacteria; Oceanospirillales; Halomonadaceae. The record is from RNAcentral.